UACGUAGGGGGGCAAGCGUUUGUCCGGAUUUAUUGGGCGUAAAGAGCGUGUAGGCGGUUUGGUAGGUCCGUUGUGAAAACUCGAGGCUCAACCUCGAGACGCCGAUGGAAACCAUCAGACUAGAGUCCGGAAGAGGAGAGUGGAAUUCCGGGUGUAGCGGUGGAAUGCGUAGAGAUCCGGAAGAACACCAGUGGCGAAGGCGGCCCGCUGGGCAGUGGCUGACGCUGAGGCGCGACAGCGUGGGGAGCAAACAGG
Molecule: ribosomal RNA, 255 nt
Filed under: uncultured bacterium
Lineage: Bacteria
Description: partial 16S ribosomal RNA
Rfam family: Bacterial small subunit ribosomal RNA
Source: RNAcentral